Molecule: ribosomal RNA, 497 nt
Filed under: uncultured bacterium
Lineage: Bacteria
Description: partial 16S ribosomal RNA
Rfam family: Bacterial small subunit ribosomal RNA
Source: RNAcentral
GAUGAACGCUGGCGGCGUGCCUAAUACAUGCAAGUCGAGCGAACAGAUGAGGAGCUUGCUCCUCUGACGUUAGCGGCGGACGGGUGAGUAACACGUGGAUAACCUACCUAUAAGACUGGGAUAACUUCGGGAAACCGGAGCUAAUACUGGCUAAUAUAUUGAACGGCAUGGUUCAAUAGUGAAUGACGGUUUUGCCGUCUCUUUUAGACGGAUCCGCGCCGCAUUAGCUAGUUGGUAAGGUAACGGCUUACCAAGGCGACGAUGCGUAGCCGACCUGAGAGGGUGAUCAGCCACACUGGAACUGAGACACGGUCCAGACUCCUACGGGAGGCAGCAGUAGGGAAUCUUCCGCAAAGGGCGAAAGCCUGACGGAGCAACGCCGCGUGAGUGAUGAAGGUCUUCGGAUCGUAAAACUCUGUUAUUAGGGAAGAACAAAUGUGUAAGUAACUAUGCACGUCUUGACGGUACCUAAUCAGAAAGCCACGGCUAACUACGUG